Molecule: long non-coding RNA, 861 nt
Organism: Culex quinquefasciatus (southern house mosquito)
Lineage: Eukaryota; Metazoa; Arthropoda; Insecta; Diptera; Culicidae
Exons: 2
Source: RefSeq, a predicted model, not a curated record
CGCACGCAACUGACAGUUCUGUUUGUUUUCGUUCGUGCUAUAAAUAAUCUCGUCCCGUUUCCGUCCGCGAAAUCUAUUUCGAGUCAAAGUUACGAGGUCCGUUCCGUUCUAACUCGCCCUAAUCGAGACCAUGUUCCGGCGCUCUGAUCGUAGGGGAAAUCUCUGUGCGAAAGUUAAAAGUCGUCGCUCUUGGUGAAAUUUAAUCGAGCAUUAUCUGCGGUUGAAGCUGCUGUCGCCAAAGGAGCUGCUGCAGCUACCUGAUUUGAUAUGAAAGGUGACUUAUCUCCACGAAGGGCAUCGUGCUGGUCCGGGUGCUUCCGGUACGGUGCAGGCGAAGCAAUCGACCUGAUUGAGAAAAUGCUCAAUGUUGCGCCGCAGACGGUACUUUCAAAUUCCGGAUUUGGGCCACGAGCAACACGACGAUUCGAACGCGAUCUAAACGGCGUACAAUAUCGUGACGUAGAACUGUGGAACGGUUUGCGACGGGUUGCACGUUCACCGGGGUGCUAAAUAGGUUGAACUAUCUAAUCUAAGGGAUCCACACCAUAAUUUAAGCAAAUUGGACGACUUCGACUUAACGCCUUCAUCUCAACUAUGUUAAGGUAAAGCUACAUAUUCCUGUUUUGCUGCUGAUUCCUUAAUUCCGUUCAUCGAGCAGCGGGAAAUUCAUUUGAAGUGACCCUUGCUCAUUUCGUUCAAAAAUCAACACGUUCCGGCAUGUUGCGAUCCUUCGCGUGAUGUCAAAACUCGUUAAACCUGGUCAAAAGAUGUCAUCAAAAAACGAAUCUUAAAAAAUAGUAAAUAAUAAAGUGGCGGCGACAAAUUUUCCAAUUCCGAAUGCCAGUUUUGGGUUACAAUAAA